RNAcentral lists this ribosomal RNA (774 nucleotides) under uncultured Neocallimastigales. RNAcentral's name for it is "partial large subunit ribosomal RNA". It matches the Rfam family "Eukaryotic large subunit ribosomal RNA", at positions 24 to 642 of the family's 3401-position model. Lineage: Eukaryota; Fungi; Neocallimastigomycota; Neocallimastigomycetes; Neocallimastigales. The record is from RNAcentral.
UAUCUCUGUAGAGUCUGCAUAUCAAUAAGCGGAGGAAAAGAAACUAACAAGGAUUCCCCUAGUAACGGCGAGUGAAGCGGGAAGAGCUCAAAUUUGAAAUCUUCAAGGUUUGACCUUGACGAAUUGUAGUUUAAAGAAGUGUUUUCGGUUAGAGGAGUAGUAAAAGUUCUUUGGAAUAGGACAUCAUAGAGGGUGAGAAUCCCGUAUUUGACUAUUCUUUCUAGCUUUGUGAUACACUUUCAAAGAGUCGGAUUGUUUGGGAAUGCAGUCCAAAAUGGGUGGUAAAUUUCAUCUAAAGCUAAAUAUUGGCGAGAGACCGAUAGCGAACAAGUACCGUGAGGGAAAGAUGAAAAGAACUUUGAAAAGAGAGUUAAACAGUACGUGAAAUUGUCAAAAGGGAAGCGUUUGACACCAGUGUUGUUUUUCCGAAAAUCAAUUAAAAAUUGAUUCAUGCCAGGUUGUAUUGACCUUAUCAGCUUGCAAUUUGGUUUUGGGUCUCUUUUUGAUGCACUUUUCGGUUAACAAGUCAACAUCAAUUUCCUUUGCUGUAAAAAGGUAAGAGGAAGGUGGCUUCAAUUUCGGUUGAAGUGUUUAUAGCCUUUUAUCUCUGCAGUCGGGGAGAUUGAGGUCUGCAGCGUAGAUCCUUCGGGGCUAGAUACAUUUAUGCUAAGUUAUAGCUUUUCAUAGACAACUUGUUGACUAUGUUUAGUCAUGUAGCUUACUCGUAAGUGCUAUUUUACCUACGCUUAGGAUGUUGAAGACUCUACAGAGAUA